GGCAUCUGAUGAGUUCUUCGGGCCACCUCCCACCCUUGUAUACUGUACCAAGUUGCUUCGGCGGGCCCGCCGUUCGCGCGGCCGCCGGGGGGGAACCCCUCCCCCCGGGCGAGCGCCCGCCGGAGACCCCAACGUGAACACUGUCUGAAGUUUUGUCGUCUGAGUUCGAUUGUAUCGCAAUCAGUUAAAACUUUCAACAAUGGAUCUCUUGGUUCCGGCAUCGAUGAAGAACGCAGCGAAAUGCGAUAAUUAAUGUGAAUUGCAGAAUUCAGUGAAUCAUCGAGUCUUUGAACGCACAUUGCACCCCCUGGUAUUCCGGGGGGUAUGCCUGUCCGAGCGUCAUUGCUGCCCUCAAGCCCGGCUUGUGUGUUGGGUCCUCGUCCCCCCCGGGGGACGGGCCCGAAAGGCAGCGGCGGCACCGCGUCCGGUCCUCGAGCGUAUGGGGCUUUGUCACACCGCUCUCGUAGGCCCGGCCGGCGCUGGCCGACGCUGAAAAGCAACCAUUAUUUCUCCAGGUUGACCUCGGAUCAGGUAGGGAUACCCGCUGAACUUAAGCAUAUCAAUAAGUCGGAGGAA
RNAcentral lists this ribosomal RNA (576 nucleotides) under Aspergillus sp. SCSGAF 0076. RNAcentral describes it as "eukaryotic LSU rRNA". The stretch from base 189 to 342 matches the Rfam family "5.8S ribosomal RNA". The record is from RNAcentral. Lineage: Eukaryota; Fungi; Ascomycota; Eurotiomycetes; Eurotiales; Aspergillaceae.